This 439-nucleotide ribosomal RNA is filed under the name uncultured bacterium. RNAcentral's name for it is "partial 16S ribosomal RNA". It matches the Rfam family "Bacterial small subunit ribosomal RNA", at positions 339 to 795 of the family's 1533-position model. The record is from RNAcentral.
CUACGGGUGGCUGCAGUGAGGAAUAUUGCACAAUGGGGGGAACCCUGAUGCAGCAACGCCGCGUGGAGGAUGACGCAUUUCGGUGUGUAAACUCCUUUUAUAUGUCAAGAAAAUGACGGUAGCAUAUGAAUAAGCACCGGCUAACUCCGUGCCAGCAGCCGCGGUAAUACGGAGGGUGCAAGCGUUACUCGGAAUCACUGGGCGUAAAGGACGCGUAGGCGGGUUGGAAAGUCAGGUGUGAGAUCCCACAGCUUAACUGUAGAACUGCACUUGAAACUUCUAAUCUAGAGUAUGGGAGGGGGAGAUGGAAUUAGUGGUGUAGGGGUAAAAUCCGUAGAUAUCACUAGGAAUACCUAAAGCGAAGGCGAUCUCCUGGAACAUUACUGACGCUAAGGCGUGAAAGCGUGGGGAGCAAACAGGAUUAGAUACCCCCGUAGUC